CCUACGGGUGGCAGCAGUGGGGAAUUUUGGACAAUGGGGGCAACCCUGAUCCAGCCAUUCCGCGUGAGUGAAGAAGGCCUUCGGGUUGUAAAGCUCUUUCGCAAGGGAAGAAAACUCGAUCUCUAAUAUAGGUUGAGGCUGACGGUACCUUGAUAAGAAGCACCGGCUAACUACGUGCCAGCAGCCGCGGUAAUACGUAGGGUGCGAGCGUUAAUCGGAAUUACUGGGCGUAAAGCGUGCGCAGGCGGUUUUGAAAGUCAGAUGUGAAAUCCCCGGGCUCAACCUGGGAACUGCGUUUGAAACUCCAAAGCUAGAGUAUGGGAGAGGGAGGUAGAAUUCCACGUGUAGCAGUGAAAUGCGUAGAGAUGUGGAGGAAUACCAAUGGCGAAGGCAGCCUCCUGGCCUAAUACUGACGCUCAUGCACGAAAGCGUGGGGAGCAAACAGGAUUAGAUACCCUUGUAGUC
This 465-nucleotide ribosomal RNA is filed under the name uncultured bacterium. RNAcentral describes it as "bacterial SSU rRNA". It matches the Rfam family "Bacterial small subunit ribosomal RNA", at positions 338 to 795 of the family's 1533-position model. The record is from RNAcentral.